RNAcentral lists this ribosomal RNA (207 nucleotides) under uncultured Mesotoga sp. RNAcentral describes it as "partial 16S ribosomal RNA". It matches the Rfam family "Bacterial small subunit ribosomal RNA", at positions 568 to 774 of the family's 1533-position model. The record is from RNAcentral. Lineage: Bacteria; Thermotogati; Thermotogota; Thermotogae; Kosmotogales; Kosmotogaceae.
AGCGUAGGUGGCCUAACAUGUCAACUGUGAAAACCCGGAGCUCAACUCCGGACCUGCAGUUGAAACUGGUAGGCUUGAGGGCGGUAGAGGAAGACGGAACUGCCAGUGUAGGGGUAAAAUCCUUAGAUAUUGGCAGGAACGCCGGUGACGAAGGUGGUUUUCUGGGCCGGUUCUGACACUGAUGCUCGAAAGCCAGGGGAGCGAACG